UAGGGAAUCUUCCGCAAUGGACGCAAGUCUGACGGAGCAACGCCGCGUGAGUGAAGAAGGAUUUCGGUUCGUAAAACUCUGUUGUUAGAGAAGAACAGCGCAUAGAGUAACUGUUAUGCGUGUGACGGUAUCUAACCAGAAAGCCACGGCUAACUACGUGCCAGCAGCCGCGGUAAUACGUAGGUGGCAAGCGUUGUCCGGAUUUAUUGGGCGUAAAGCGAGCGCAGGCGGUCAAUUAAGUCUGAUGUGAAAGCCCCCGGCUCAACCGGGGAGGGUCAUUAGAAACUGGUUGACUUGAGUGCAGAAGAGGAGAGUGGAAUUCCAUGUGUAGCGGUGAAAUGCGUAGAUAUAUGGAGGAACACCAGUGGCGAAGGCGACUCUCUGGUCUGUAACUGACGCUGAGGCUCGAAAGCGUGGGGAGCGAACAGG
RNAcentral lists this ribosomal RNA (429 nucleotides) under Bacteroidota bacterium. Its description in RNAcentral is "Bacteroidetes bacterium partial 16S ribosomal RNA". It matches the Rfam family "Bacterial small subunit ribosomal RNA", at positions 355 to 776 of the family's 1533-position model. The record is from RNAcentral. Lineage: Bacteria; Pseudomonadati; Bacteroidota.